This is a long non-coding RNA of Anas platyrhynchos (mallard), 2754 nucleotides long. RefSeq lists it as uncharacterized. Lineage: Eukaryota; Metazoa; Chordata; Aves; Anseriformes; Anatidae. The record is from RefSeq and is a predicted model, not a curated record.
CCUUGUCUCAGGAGUAGGCAGCCUGGAGCUUGCAGGACCUCAUACUUGAAUCUAGACCUGGAGGCUUUGUGAUGCUACAUGGUAUGGAAACAUUAUGAACUGGUUCCUGUCCCAGGUAUUCGUAAUCAAAUAUUAGAAUGAGGUGUAUCUUGGAUGGUUUCCAUUAGGCAGAAGCAAAGCUCACCAUGUUAGAGUGUGGGAGGAGUGUAAGAAAAGGAAGAAACAAAAGACAUUUUUCACACCCCCUGGAAAGCUCUCAAAGAACGGAACUAUUAAUGCACUGGGAGGAAAGUAUGAAGAAAGUGCACACAGCUGCUAUCAAGUAAAUUGUGCAGGACUGAUCAAAUGACAAAAAUGUUGGAAUACGCUUCAGGGACUAUAACUGCAAUGCCAAAGGAAAUCUGGUAGAAGUUCCAUAGGCAAGCAGGAUAUUUUUUUCUAGUUGAUGAAAAACUGUUCUGCUGAUGUAUUCUCAGUCCUAAAAUGACGUGCAAGCUCUCCCUGCUGCUGAAUCCUCCCCUAUGCAAGCUCUUACUCCAAUGUAGAAGGGCUUACAACAUUCAAGAAAAUGAAAGUAGCGCCAAUAUUAGGCAUAUUCUGGGCUCACAAUUCUGGUAUCCAUUUACAUGUGGAAUUUCCAAAUUGUGGGAAUUCAGGAAGCUCAAGUUCUGAUGUACUGUCACAAAGUGCUUUGUCUUGUUCAGGAGGCAGCGCUUCCACACACCUACUAUGCUAUGGAGGGGCUGAAGGAAGGGUGGUUUAUCUGUUGACAUGUAGGCAGCUGGCACUCAGAAAUGUGAAGAGCCUCUUGGGGUGGAGCUGGAAUUAGCAGCUGUGUGCAGGUGGUGACAGUUCUGCAGAUGUGCCCUGGGAGGGAAGACAUGUUUCUGAAGUAAUCGUACCUUCUGCAGUGUUAUGCUUAGCUUCCAGUGCUUUUCUGAUAGCCAUUCCUCUGGUGCUGAGACCCAUAGGAAGAAUAGGCAAGGAUUUUUGUUAGAGAUGCAAGCUUUCACUUGCUGAACCACCUGAACUGAAAAUCCAGAAGUCAGGAUGCAGUGGAUGCAAAAUUAAAUAAAAGAAAUCCUGUUUAAACAUAAUUGAAAGCAAACAACCAAAAUAUCGUGCUACUUUUAUGGUGAAAGUGCUCAAGCAGUCGAGCGGGUUGUUCAGAGAGGUUGUAGAGUCUCCAUCUUUGGAGACUUGAGGUUUCAGAUAUUCAGGUUAACAGAAGCAUAUCCUUGAUUUAAAGGCUCCCUUUCUGGUGAUGGCUUCUAUAUAAUGAGUUUACAGGAAAUGGAAAAGCCCCAUUAAUUCCAAAGUUCUUGGAGUGAGAUCCUGAAUGCCUGCUUUGACACCUGAAGCAGGAUUCCCAUGCUAUCUAGGUGUCUAGAUCAAAGACAGCAAGCUACAGUAUGCACUCAGUGGCUGCAUAAAGAUUGAUGUGUAAAACUAAGCUAGUUCCUUCUUGUUUGUCCCCAAAGUUCCUUGCAUGCAAAGCUGGAUGUGCAAGCAUGCACACAGGUAGCCCAUCCUGGAGAGCUGGGUCCCUUGUGACAACCUGGGUGCCUUUAGGACCUAAAGGUGAGGUCGUGUUUGUGGCUGGAAGCUCAGGAGGGGCUGAUUCCCCUCAAUAUGCUUGGAGCACUGCUACUGGCACACACACUGAACGUGCAGCACACUGCCUGUGCUUCUCUGAUGCAUAAGGGUGCAAAAGGAAGCGAUGCUCACCUCUUGCGUAGUGGCUUGGUAACUACCUGUGCCUUCUCUGUAGGAGGUGAUAGCUCUGUGUUCAGCUAUUUUCAGUCUGUCUUCCACUUUCCAGCAGCAUCUCUUGUUCACAAGCUGGGGAACUGUCCAGGCUGGAUCUGCACUCUGGGCUAGUUCUGCAGCUUGGAGUAGAAAUCAUGAGAUCAGCUGAUGGCUAAGCCAAAGCAACCAUCAUAUUGGUCAUAACAAUAGGAGCUGUAUGUAUAUUCUGUAUGGAUUAUUAACACUGGAGUAUAGAUUUUGUGGAGUAAGCAUACUCAGUGUUUGUAAACUGCUAUCAGCCUUCAGCGCUGUGCUGGAAGGACACCUAUCUGAUGUUAGCCUGAUACAGGACUGAGGCUUCCAGGCAGAAUUGCAAUCAAGUCAGCAGUUCUGUGUGUUUUCAGGGGGGACUUGAACCUAUUGGGUGAUGUGGGAGGGGGUUACCCUUCCCUUCUUUCCCAACUGCAGUAACCAGUGAUAAGACAGUUAAUGACAGUACAAUGAUAAUCCCUUUGGCAUAUGGAUAGGCUGAAUUCAGUAUUUCUGUACCUCGCAUUCCUUUUUAUUUGUAACAACAACAAAAAAUACCUAAGAAUUGUUCUUAGAUGUUUUUGUAAUAGCUGACAUUCUUCAAGGAAGAUUAAUAAAGUUGUGUCUAUUGAAAGCAUGCCUUUUCUAGGCACAGCUUAAGGCUUCUCCAUUUAUAUUCAUGAAAAGAGUCUAAUUCAAGGUGGUCUCUAAUAACAACCCUUGCUGCACUUCGGGGCUGACUUGUAAGUUCAGUACUGCAGCAAUAAAUGCACAUAGAUAUCAGGUCUGGUUGGGAUUUUAGGUGAGAGAAAGAGGGCAGUUAUCUCUUGGAAGGCAAGAAACUCAGCGAUUUAAAAGGCAAAUAACUACAAAAUUGCAUAAAACUAAGCUUGUUGUGUAAGUGGUACAAAGUCAGAUCUGCUGUUCAUUCACUAAUACCAGAAGCACUGAGCUUAUGUGAGGAUAUAGCUUAUA